AGGUAGCUUAACCUUCGGGGGGGCGCUUACCACUUUGUGAUUCAUGACUGGGGUGAAGUCGUAACAAGGUAACCGUAGGGGAACCUGCGGUUGGAUCACCUCCUUA
This 106-nucleotide ribosomal RNA is filed under the name Xenorhabdus nematophila. RNAcentral describes it as "partial 16S ribosomal RNA". It matches the Rfam family "Bacterial small subunit ribosomal RNA", at positions 1428 to 1533 of the family's 1533-position model. The record is from RNAcentral. RNAcentral also lists the same sequence under 1 other name. Lineage: Bacteria; Pseudomonadati; Pseudomonadota; Gammaproteobacteria; Enterobacterales; Morganellaceae.